RNAcentral lists this unclassified non-coding RNA (409 nucleotides) under plant metagenome. RNAcentral's name for it is "partial contains 5.8S ribosomal RNA, internal transcribed spacer 2, and large subunit ribosomal RNA". The record is from RNAcentral.
CAGCGCCUUUAUGAGGCCGUAGAGAUUAUUCGUGCUUUAUGGCAGGGCGAGACGGUAACAAGGGAAAACGGACCAUUGAAAGCGCAUAAGGCGAAAUUAUGGACCUUGCCGCCAAAACCGCCGAAAAUUUAUGGGGCGGUUUUAUCAGAGGAAAGCGCUGCAUGGGCAGGAAAAUGGGCAGACGGAUUGAUCACUGUGAAAUACCCGAUCGAACAAAUGCAGAAAAUUUUACAGGCUUUUCAAAGUAAUGGCGGGCAAAGCAAACCGAUUGUUUUGCAAUUGCAGCUCAGCUGGGCGGAAAGCAAGGAACAGGCCAGAGCAAAUGCCUAUGAUCAAUGGCGCCAUGCCGCAGCGAAAAUAGAAAAGGAUUCCAUUCAAACGCCUGAACAAUUCGACGCCGCUUGCCAGC